This is a long non-coding RNA of Sarcophilus harrisii (Tasmanian devil), 1806 nucleotides long. RefSeq lists it as uncharacterized. The transcript is spliced from 3 exons. The record is from RefSeq and is a predicted model, not a curated record. NCBI's taxonomy places the organism in Eukaryota, Metazoa, Chordata, Mammalia, Dasyuromorphia, Dasyuridae.
CCACCUCCCUGGGAUCCUGGGGGUGAGAAGGCCUCGCUGUAGCACGGGGCUGGGUUUCUGCCAGGGAUGAGCCGCGUCCCAUGCCCCGGGAUGCCCCUCAGGAGCCCGCUUCCUCCAGGAAGCCCACCCUGACUGGAACACCGUGCGCAGGUUGGCUCUCUCCCCGGGGGCCUGCCAUGCCCCAGUUACCAACGCUGGAUGAUGGGCUGCUGGUCACCAGCUGCUUCCCCCUAUGUGCGGGGCCCCCCUUCCUUCUGGGGCCUCCUCUCCCAUGUGUUCAGACCUUGUUGGAGCCUGAGGUUGGCACAGCCCCCCUCCCCCCCGAGCUCUGUACACACUUAAGCCCAGACUGACCUCGGGCCUCAGUUCCCAGCCUGGAGUAAAUGAGUCCCAAGUUCCCCUCUGGCUGUCAGGCUGGGGGCCACAGGUGGACACUGCCUCCCCUCCCCCCUCUGCAUCUGCCCUAUCUGGGGACUCUAAUUGGGAGAAAACUUUCCUAAUACUGAAUUUUGCAGAAACUCACACGUUCCUUUGUUUGAGCCUCACCCCGAACUAUUACCCCCGUUUUACACGUGAGGAAACUGAGUCUGGGAGGAGCCUUGCUCAGGGUCUCGACAUCAGCAAAUGUUGGGGGAAGGGAAACUGAGGCACAGAGCAGGGCCGGCUGACUCGGACUCCACCAUGUCUCUGCCCUUAAGCUGGAGAGAGCUGUACAGGUGAGUCUGGGGUCAGGUUCCCCCCCCCAAACGGAAGCCACCUCUCCAGGCAUAGAGACCCGAGCCUGAUCUUGCCGAUUCCCUCCUUUCCCAGAUUCCCCCGCCCUUGCCCUGCUACUCACAGCGGCCAGCAGGUUCCCUUCCUUGCAGGGGGCGGCCCCGCCGCACAGGUGCAUGGUCCGAUUCCCAAGGGAAUUCAGGGGAAUGACAGGGCGCUUCCCAGGGUUCCCUCUGCAGCAGCCUCCCAGGUCCCCGUUGCAGCCUCUGAGGCCCCCGGCGGCUCAGGAAGCGAACGUGGAAAUCUCUGCUGACCACUCCGCCCCCGAGCCCAGUUUCGGUUUCUCUGAAAUCCCGGGGCUGCUCCGAAUCCCGGCCCACGUGGCCGGACUUUCCCAGUGUGACCAAGCUUUCCGGGAGGGCAACAGCCUGCCAGGGGGGGCCGGCUGGGGGGCGGGGACCUGGGAGCCCAGGGGAGAGAUGGGCAGGGCCAGGAGGGGGAAUGCCCCCGGAGGCCCCAGAGAGGGGAGACUUGGGGCUCCCGGCCGGGCCAGCUAAGUCAGCAAGGCCAGAAGCAGCUCGGGGGUCAGACAAAUCCGUGAACUCUCACCACCACGAGCCAAGUGAACUUGACGUCCCUGCCUCAGUGUCCCCACCUGUACAAGGGCUGGAUACCACAGUCCCUUCCUGGGCUAAGUGAGUUGGAUGGAACAGGGGGAAAAGCUGGACCUGGAGGACAGGAGCUGCUUUAAAGCCCACUUCCCAAGGCUUCCUGGCUGUGUGACCAUUACGGGGGCUCUUAGGGGACAGAACAGAGCAAUAUUGGGAGAUGGGACAAGGCUGGGCUCCAAGAGCCAGGUUCAAGUGCUGACACUCUGUGGCUCCAAGACUGUGGCUUUCCUGGCAACAGAAAUAUGGGCAUUGGAGAGGAUGUUCUCUAGAGUCCCGGACACCCCAAAGCCCAGAUGAGAACGCUCCUUGUGGGGGAGGGCAGGUUGAGGCUCCCCUUCAUAGAAAUAAACAUAGUUGAAUUCUGGGUCUCCCCAGGAACCGAAAAGAAAUCUGACUCCGGGAAGACGACACCGGCCUCCCC